This 497-nucleotide ribosomal RNA is filed under the name uncultured bacterium. RNAcentral's name for it is "partial 16S ribosomal RNA". It matches the Rfam family "Bacterial small subunit ribosomal RNA", at positions 28 to 507 of the family's 1533-position model. The record is from RNAcentral.
GAUGAACGCUGGCGGCGUGCCUAAUACAUGCAAGUCGAGCGAACAGACGAGGAGCUUGCUCCUCUGACGUUAGCGGCGGACGGGUGAGUAACACGUGGAUAACCUACCUAUAAGACUGGGAUAACUUCGGGAAACCGGAGCUAAUACCGGAUAAUAUAUUGAACCGCAUGGUUCAAUAGUGAAAGACGGUUUUGCUGUCACUUAUAGAUGGAUCCGCGCCGCAUUAGCUAGUUGGUAAGGUAACGGCUUACCAAGGCAACGAUGCGUAGCCGACCUGAGAGGGUGAUCGGCCACACUGGAACUGAGACACGGUCCAGACUCCUACGGGAGGCAGCAGUGGGGAAUCUUCCGCAAUGGGCGAAAGCCUGACGGAGCACCGCCGCGUGAGUGAUGAAGGUCUUCGGAUCGUAAAACUCUGUUAUUAGGGAAGAACAAAUGUGUAAGUAACUAUGCACGUCUUGACGGUACCUAAUCAGAAAGCCACGGCUAACUACGUG